RNAcentral lists this ribosomal RNA (253 nucleotides) under uncultured bacterium. RNAcentral's name for it is "partial 16S ribosomal RNA". It matches the Rfam family "Bacterial small subunit ribosomal RNA", at positions 524 to 776 of the family's 1533-position model. The record is from RNAcentral.
UACGUAGGUGGCAAGCGUUGUUCGGAAUUACUGGGCGUAAAGGGCGCGUAGGCGGCCUUCUAAGUCGAACGUGAAAUCCCCGGGCUCAACCCGGGAACUGCGUCCGAUACUGGAAGGCUUGAAUCCGGGAGAGGGAUGCGGAAUUCCAGGUGUAGCGGUGAAAUGCGUAGAUAUCUGGAGGAACACCGGUGGCGAAGGCGGCAUCCUGGACCGGUAUUGACGCUGAGGCGCGAAAGCGUGGGGAGCAAACAGG